Papaver somniferum (opium poppy) is the source of this 1980-nucleotide long non-coding RNA. RefSeq lists it as uncharacterized. The transcript is spliced from 3 exons. The record is from RefSeq and is a predicted model, not a curated record. NCBI's taxonomy places the organism in Eukaryota, Viridiplantae, Streptophyta, Magnoliopsida, Ranunculales, Papaveraceae.
UAUAUAUAGCAGUACAUAAGGGAUAAACAUAACCCCAAAUCAGGAUUACUAUUAAACUAAUGUUGACACGUGCUUGUGUACGUGGCUCAUACAUGGAGUGGACGUGGGUUCUUCGGCUAGUUGAGGAGGCGGAGUUCACUUUCCAGAGUUAUCUCGAGUUCACUUUCCAGAGUAGAAAUGGUGGGCCACUCAUUUAACCUGUAUUCACACAACAUUCUUCUUAUUAUCUUUUUCUUCUCGUUUUCUUCUUUCUUCUUCUGCUCUUCCAUGUUCUUCCUCUUUCGUCUCUGGUAAUCUUAAUUCAAGGACUGAGUUUGAUUUUAGUCGAGUGGAUCUUAGUCAGCGUAAUAUGUAGAUGAUUUGAGAGUAAGGAUGGAAGUAUUGGAAGUUUGUUUAACGCUGAAAGAUGAACUGAAUUAGGGUUAUAUAGUCGAUUGAAGUUCCGAAGAUUUAGAAGAUAAUUUAUGAAGCUAUUUUUGAUGAAGAAUCAUAGGUAGUUGUUUAAUUGAAGUUCCGAAGUUGAUUCAGUGAAGGAUUGGAGAAUUAGGGUUGUGAUAAUUUCUGAAGAGAUUAGGAAGAUGAAAUUGAAGAACGGGUUUUGAAGAUUACGAGGUGAAUAAGAAGUUAAUGAUGUUAAUUUGAAGAUUUGUUUGCAGAGAAGACCGAUUUAGAGAUUUGUAGAAUUAGGGUUCUGUUCUAGUUUUUUCUCUUGAGUUGAUUUAAGGAAGAUGGAGUUCAUAUCUUAAUGAAGGGGUAUGAAUCGAAUUAGAGGAAUUAUUGUAAGACAACUUAACUGGUUGAGCUGGUGAUUUAAGUUAAGAAGGAGAUGUAGAUGAAUUGAGAAAUUACAUAUGCAGAAAAUGAACUAUGGUGGUGGUUUGAGAUGGUUUAUGGAAUUGAGACAAGUAAAGAAGAAUUCAGCCUCAGAUUCUUGAUUGAAUCCAUUCUGAGGUAAUUGUUUUGCUUAAUUGAUUUGGAGGAAUUAUUCCUGUUCAUUAUUGAGAUUAUAUGAAUGCUUAUGAAGUUAAGAAUUAUGUUGAUAUAAAAUGGAGCUGUGUUGAUUGGGGAUUUAGGUUUAUUUAUAUCUGAGGGGUUGGUACUUAUUAAGGAUGAAGCUGAGUUUUAGAAGUGGUGUUGACAUUAGUUACACAAAACUGUGUUGGUUGUAGUGAACUGGACAAGGAAAUGGUAAUGGUGAUAGCUUUAGUGUGGAUGUUGGGUUGUUGUAUAGUGACUGAGAAGAUAUUGAUGAAGAAUUUACUUGUUCUGUGUGUAUUUUGAAUGAUCUAGUGGUGCACGAAUGGAUGAGUUAAACUACAUUUGUUGAUUAUGUUGUUGUGGUGAGGUCAUAGUGGUGAUGGAGCUGACGGAUAGUGCAGGAGUUAGAGUUACUAGUAAAGCUGGUGGAGUAAAUUAUAGGUAAUAUGAAGAGAGUAUGAUUUCUACUGAAGUGCAAAUGGAGUCCUAAGGUUUAGUGUAAUAUUGUACUGAGUUACAAUUUGUAGUGGUGUUAUUGAAGCUGCAGGGGAUAUGAGUGGAUGUGGAAGUUUAGGAACUGUUUUGAGAUAUGGAAUAGAGUUACAGUUACAACUUGUUGAGCUGAAUUGUUUGAUGUAGUGCUGUUGUGUUAGUUGGAGCUUAAAGCAUCCUUUGCAGUUAGACUAUAUUAACAACGAUCGAUUCAAGGGAUGAACCAGUGGAUCGUGGAUUUCGAGGUACGCGUGGCUUGUAAUCAAAAGAGUUUCAGAGACAGAUCGGAGUUGCGCAGCGAAAGGUUCGAGGAGUUGAGUCCGUUAGUUGGUUAACUUCUAAUAUGUUUAUUAUGUUGUAUAUUUCACUUGUAAACCAUAUGACCAUUUUAUAUGUAUCAUUUGAUAGGAUUUCUUGUAUAUGUAUAUAUUUCAGAGCGGGGCUAGUUUUGGAUUCAGUUUUGUAGCAGACUUCUUAAUUGAAUGUUUAAGUAAAUGAUUUAGAUUUUUA